This 274-nucleotide ribosomal RNA is filed under the name uncultured bacterium. RNAcentral describes it as "partial 16S ribosomal RNA". It matches the Rfam family "Bacterial small subunit ribosomal RNA", at positions 523 to 796 of the family's 1533-position model. The record is from RNAcentral.
AUACGGAGGGUGCAAGCGUUGUUCGGAAUUACUGGGCGUAAAGCGCGCGUAGGUGGUCUGUUAUGUCAGAUGUGAAAGUCCACGGCUCAACCGUGGAAGUGCAUUUGAAACUGGCAGACUUGAGUACUGGAGGGGGUAGUGGAAUUCCCGGUGUAGAGGUGAAAUUCGUAGAUAUCGGGAGGAAUACCGGUGGCGAAGGCGACUACCUGGCCAGAUACUGACACUGAGGUGCGAAAGCGUGGGGAGCGAACAGGAGUAGAAACCCUAGUAGUCC